CCUCCAGAAAGCUUCCUUCAUGAGAACCAAAUAGCAUCAACAUUUCCAGACUCACCUACAGGUACUAUCCUAGAACUGGGACAGCAAUAGCAAAAACAAACAAACAAACAAAAACCUAGCAUGAUUCAUGAUCUCAUGGACUAAUAUCCUCCAAUCAGAGUGAAAGAAAAUAUAUCAAAACAUUGCAAAUAUAAAUGUCAAGUGAAAUCUCUGGUAAGCACUAGGAAGAAGCCUGCUCUUCAGGGGACUUUGGACUAUUCUGAGAUGUCAGUGAGGAUGUGACAACUGAGCUGAGACCUGAAGCACCAAGAGUGAAUGGACAGAGGUGAAGUGGAUGUGAUGUGCAGAGGGAAGAAGCGUUCCCAGAGGAGGAUUUGUGGAAGAACCAGUACAAGUAGCUGAAACUGUGGCCAUGUGGCGGGAGCAGCACGGGCUGAGAUGAGGCUGAAGAGGGAGUGAGGGCCCAUCCUACCUGCUCAGCACCAGCCCUGCUUCUAUCCUUGAGAACACUGAGCGUGGGCUUCGGGCUUCGCUGCUUUUUUUCUCAGGAGAGCUCACCUUUUCCAGUACUUCUGGGCAUCAAAGCUUGGAAGAGUUUAGGACCUCAAGGAAGUUUUAGAACUAGUACAAUUAACUAGGGAUAUUUGGUCAGCAAAUAUUGAUUGAGUACACGGGGUGGGGAAAGCACUGUGGUAAGCAAGUGCUAAGGCGAAAAAGUCCCUCAACUCAAGCGUUUACAAUCUGAUAUACUCUAGCCAUGCAGAAUAAGCUGACAAGAGGAUAAUUCUAAAACAAAGCACACUGCUGCUUCCUCCAGCCAGCCUGACAGCCUGGUUGAGAAGUGGGCGUUCC
This 852-nucleotide long non-coding RNA is filed under the name Homo sapiens (human). RNAcentral describes it as "HSALNT0079116". Lineage: Eukaryota; Metazoa; Chordata; Mammalia; Primates; Hominidae. The record is from RNAcentral.